CUGAAGAGGAAGAUGAAACAAGAAGAGUAACAGAAUUUGAUAGCGACUUUACUGACGUUGAGGGAGAGGCCAAAGCAAAGAAAUCCGAUGAAGACCUGUUUGGUUCAGAGUCUGAGAGUGAAGAAGGUGGCGGGUUGUUUAACAGUGAAGAUGAUGAGACACGACCAAAGAAGAAGUCAAAGUCCAAUCGGUUGAAGGAGGACAGCGAGGAUGAGUCAGAGGAUGAUGAUGAUAGUGAGGAGGAGAGUGAAGAAGAAUCUGAAGAAGAAACUGAAGAAGAAGAAGAAGAAGAGGUAAAGACUGAUUUCCAAGCUGAAUUAGCUUCAAAGCUUUUCGGUAAGAGAGUGGGAGGUCUUGAUGA
This is a long non-coding RNA of Amphimedon queenslandica, 361 nucleotides long. RefSeq lists it as uncharacterized. The transcript is spliced from 3 exons. Lineage: Eukaryota; Metazoa; Porifera; Demospongiae; Haplosclerida; Niphatidae. The record is from RefSeq and is a predicted model, not a curated record.